CCUACGGGUGGCAGCAGUAGGGAAUCUUCCACAAUGGGCGAAAGCCUGAUGGAGCAACGCCGCGUGGGUGAAGAAGGUCUUCGGAUCGUAAAACCCUGUUGUUAGAGAAGAAAGUGCGUGAGAGUAACUGUUCACGUUUCGACGGUAUCUAACCAGAAAGCCACGGCUAACUACGUGCCAGCAGCCGCGGUAAUACGUAGGUGGCAAGCGUUAUCCGGAUUUAUUGGGCGUAAAGGGAACGCAGGCGGUCUUUUAAGUCUGAUGUGAAAGCCCUCGGCUUAACCGGAGUAGUGCAUUGGAAACUGGGAGACGUGAGUGCAGAAGAGGAGAGUGGAACUCCAUGUGUAGCGGUGAAAUGCGGAGAUAUAUGGAAGAACACCAGUGGCGAAGGCGGCUUACUGGUCUGUAACUGACGCUGAGGUUCGAAAGCGUGGGUAGCAAACAGGAUUAGAUACCCCAGUAGUC
RNAcentral lists this ribosomal RNA (465 nucleotides) under uncultured bacterium. RNAcentral's name for it is "partial 16S ribosomal RNA". It matches the Rfam family "Bacterial small subunit ribosomal RNA", at positions 338 to 795 of the family's 1533-position model. The record is from RNAcentral.